AUGUAUGAAACACAAGUUCUUUCUCUCAAGAACACGUCUUUUUUAGAUCGUAUUUGCUUCAUUCUGAAUAAUUUAGAUUUUGUAUGGUUCAUUUUAUGUUUCUUAAGUCUUAUCUUUCUUCGAUGCAUAUGUGAAUGCGAAAUGGAUUUGACUGGGAGAUGGUAGGGAGAGAUCCAGCCGAAAAGAGGAAGAGAGUGCUAAAAUGGAGAUUGGAUUUGAAGAGAGAGUGGGAGAGUGGAGGUAGGACGUAAGAGGCGUGCAUAGUGAUGAGAGAAUAAACUAGAUAAUAGAAUUUGAUGCCACAUCUUUUAUCGCAAAUAGAUAUGAAUAAUUCUUCUUGCAAUUCACAAAUGUGGACUAUUGAUAAAACGAAGCGUUUCAUUGGACGUAAAAUCACAGAGCAGCAAGUGAAAUCCAAGAGUAGUGAAGGAAGUGAAAUCCCUUCCUCAAUGAACUCUCCCUUGCCCUCGGGCCCAUUGCCGUUGUCGUCGCCGUCUCCAUCGCCUGUGCAGCUCCAUCCCCUUCGUUGGUUUCAAGUUCUCUUCUAUUCUAUUUUUCCAUAUAGAUGGAAGCGCUUCUUCAGACUUCAAGAGAUGGUAUUUUAGUGUGUUGUUGUUUGAAAUAUAUUUAGAAGUGUAAAUGAUGGAGGAUGCCGACGAUGGAAAGUGGUGAAGACGAUUGCCAACAAUGGAAAGUGGAGGAGGUCCCAAAUGAACGCCACGAGGGAGAGGAAAAUCAAAGUCCAAAGAUGGUGGAGGACCCAGAUGCACAGCACGAGAGAGAAGAAGAUCAGAAAUUUUGGGCUAUUUUUUAUUUGGAAAUAAGGGCAUUUUAGUCAAGUAAAUUAUAAAAUGAGAAAAAUUUUUGUCUAUUACUUUUUGUGGAUUGCAAAGGAGUCCAUUUUAGUGGACUAUACGUAACGUGACCCAAUAGAUAUAUGUUGGUUGCAAGUAUUAUUUA
This is a long non-coding RNA of Carya illinoinensis, 960 nucleotides long. RefSeq lists it as uncharacterized. The record is from RefSeq and is a predicted model, not a curated record. The transcript is spliced from 2 exons. NCBI's taxonomy places the organism in Eukaryota, Viridiplantae, Streptophyta, Magnoliopsida, Fagales, Juglandaceae.